This 253-nucleotide ribosomal RNA is filed under the name uncultured bacterium. RNAcentral describes it as "partial 16S ribosomal RNA". It matches the Rfam family "Bacterial small subunit ribosomal RNA", at positions 524 to 776 of the family's 1533-position model. The record is from RNAcentral.
AACGUAGGACGCAAGCGUUAUCCGGAGUUACUGGGCGUAAAGCGCGGGCAGGCGGUUCUGCCAGUCUGGUGUGAAAUCUCCCGGCUCAACCGGGAGCAGCCACUGGAAACUACAGAACUGGAGUCUGACAGAGGUCGGCGGAAUUCCGGGUGGAGUGGUGAAAUGCGUAGAGAUCCGGAGGAACACCAGAGGCGAAGGCGGCCGACUGGGUCAGUACUGACGCUGAGCCGCGAAAGCCAGGGGAGCGAACGGG